Molecule: long non-coding RNA, 488 nt
Organism: Chenopodium quinoa (quinoa)
Lineage: Eukaryota; Viridiplantae; Streptophyta; Magnoliopsida; Caryophyllales; Amaranthaceae
Exons: 3
Source: RefSeq, a predicted model, not a curated record
UAGACCGUCAGUUCUAACACAAAAGGUGCGUUAUCUAACGGCCCAUAUUAAAUAAGACGAAUUGAAUUAGUUUCACGGAGUUCUAACCACAAAUAAACAUUAUUCAAGUUUCCCCAAUUCAAUCAAUAGCUCCAAUAUCAGAAAAAGUUGCUACAAUUUACAUACUUCUUCGAUAUUGUGCCGAAUCCGUUGCAAAAUUUCUCGACGUUAGAGGGUUCAAAAUUUGGCGAUUUAAGAGUUCAAACUACAGCGAUUUUAAGGCUGGAAAUAUUAGCCUCCCUCAAUCUCAACUUCUCAACGCGGCUGUCCGGCUGUCCCAACUCGCUCCGGCCACCGCCCACUGCCGACACCUCCCUCAUUCUCUCAGGCGAUGCACACCGAUAAUAUCUGGUAAGUAUUUGCUUAUAAUUUUGGUAUUUUUAAUUCGAAAUAAUAAAUUAAGUGUGAGAAUUUAUAUGUUUAUUCUUGUUUCAAAUUUUCAAUUGCUU